AAUCUCCAUCUCCUGAUUCAAGUGAUCCUGCUGACUCAGCCUCCUGAGUAGCUAGGAUUACAGGCACACAUCACCAUGCCUGGCUAAUUUUUUUUUUUUUUUUUUUUUUUGUAUUUUUAGUACAGAUGGGGUUUCACCAUGUUGGCCAGGCUGGUCUGGAACUCCUGACCUCAAGUGAUCCAACUAUGUCGGCCUUUCAAAGUGCUGGGAUUAUAGGUGUAAGCCACCACCCCCAGCUGAUACUUUGUUAUUGACUUCUAAGAAUUCUAAUAAUAGCCAUUUAUUAUGACACAAGUUAUGCAAUUUCUUUUUUCAUUCUGUCAUUUCUAUUUUGACUUUGCUGCUGGGGUGCCUGUACGUGUGUGUGUUUGUUAUGUGUUCUUUCUCCACUUAUCCUCCCACAACCAUCUCCCACUGACUGUGUCCCUCUGACCCUCUGCCCCAGGAAAGGGGCCUCUGCGUCGUCCAGGUCCUCAUGCAAAGGGGCUUCUGAUUGUAUUCAGCCAAAGCCAGGAGAGGGAGGACAGAAAGAGGGAGCUGCUGUCCAUCUCCAUGGUCCCUUCCUCUUCUGCGCUCCCUCAUGAACAACAGCUAUGCCCUUUUAUAACUUCUGCACGGCUGCAGACUUCAUCAGACUCCAGGACAAAGAAAAGAGACAUGCAAGUACCACAGAAAGUACUACACACCACCCAGAGAUUGAAACUGAAGGUGUGACAACAGAGAAAAGAGAGGGUAAAGAAAAGUAAAACAAAGGAGACGUGGGAUAUGAAAGGUGGAUCCCAUGUGUGGACAUCAAGAAACGUUGUGGCUCCCACUUCUGCCACCAAUUGAACCUGGAACCUCACGACUUGGAGUUGAGAGGAGGCAAGUGCUCAUUCAUCAUCUGUGAAAAUAGGGAUUGAGAGUUCCCUAACUGUGCUAUUUUUCCUCAAGCACUGGCUUUAGUUUUCUGAAUGUCAGGUUCUGUGGAGGUGAGUCCUCAGCUGAGCCACGGGCUCGGCAUUCCUGGCAGUCCACACACUUCAUAUCCUUUGUUUACGCUGCAAUUUUGGAAUUCGAACAGGUUAAUGGGGCACAUUUCAACAGAUAAUGACACACACUGACUGCUCAUGAGCUAUUUUAUGGUGUGAGAAUGUUGUGAUGUUAUGAAAUAAGAAGGCAUUGAGACAUAGGGACAUUUUCUAGAAGGUCCUUAGCAGAGGGUACAGAAGACUAAGGUCCAAAUCUCUGAAAUGAUGUUUUCCAAGUUAUUGCACAGCUGUGUCAAACAAAAUACCUUGAUCCAGAUAAUGUUCACAAAUAAAAAAAAUAUGAAAUGUUAUUUUCUAGGUAUGGAUAGUAGUAGAUCUGUUGUGUAGUGGAGAUUACUUAGGAAGAAUAAAUUUCAGCUUUACCAAGAAAGUACUAGAUUAAUUGCAUUAGGAAAUUGUGACAAAAGUGUCAGUGCAGUAUAUAAAAUCAAGCUUGGCAAAACUUAAAUAUACCUUCUAGCCUGAAAGUCCAACUGGCUGACAAACUGGGCAUUUAAGGGUGAAUUUUAGUUCUUAAAAAAUAAAAUUUGGCAGAAAAGUGAUGAAUAUGGAUGAGAUAAUGAUUUGGAAUAAUAAAGAAACUUCUCAAAUAGAAAGAAGAUAACAUAUCAGUGCAUUUUAUUGAAGAAAGGAUGACAAAAUAAUCUACCCAUCAGAUUAGGUAACUGAUAGGUAGCCUAUGUACAUCACAGAAACUUACAGUUGUUUCAAGUUGAAGUUUAGAAAAAGAAGGCCAGAACCCUAGAAAUCAGUGAAGGGUGAAGUUUUUUUGAAGAAAAUUCCAUUGGCCUAUAAAUAAUCUUCUGAAUAAAAAGAAAAAUAAAUAAACAAGUAGAAAUGUGCUGCCACAGAGAGUUGCCAUAUAUUGAUGAAUAAUUCAUUCAUGAAUUAGUUAGUUUGUACUAUUUUUGAAAGCCAUAGUCCUUAAACCAUUUACCAUGUGUGAAAU
RNAcentral lists this long non-coding RNA (1980 nucleotides) under Macaca mulatta (Rhesus monkey). RNAcentral describes it as "lncRNA (ENSMMUG00000055045.1)". Lineage: Eukaryota; Metazoa; Chordata; Mammalia; Primates; Cercopithecidae. The record is from RNAcentral.